GAUGAACGCUGGCGGCGUGCCUAAUACAUGCAAGUCGAGCGAACAGACGAGGAGCUUGCUCCUCUGACGUUAGCGGCGGACGGGUGAGUAACACGUGGAUAACCUACCUAUAAGACUGGGAUAACUUCGGGAAACCGGAGCUAAUACCGGAUAAUAUAUUGAACCGCAUGGUUCAAUAGUGAAAGACGGUGUUGCUGUCACUUAUAGAUGGAUCCGCGCCGCAUUGGCUAGUUGGUAAGGUAACGGCUUACCAAGGCAACGAUGCGUAGCCGACCUGGGAGGGAGAGCGGCCACACUGGGACGGAGACACGGUCCAGACGCCUACGGGAGGCAGCAGUAGGGAAUCUGCCGCAAGGGGCGAAAGAUUGACGGAGCAACGCCGCGGGAGUGAUGAAGGACGUCGGAUCGUAAAACUCGGUUAUUAGGGAAGAACAAAUGUGUAAGUAACAAGGCACGUGUUGACGGUACCUAAGCAGAAAGCCACGGCUAACUACGGUC
RNAcentral lists this ribosomal RNA (498 nucleotides) under uncultured bacterium. RNAcentral's name for it is "partial 16S ribosomal RNA". It matches the Rfam family "Bacterial small subunit ribosomal RNA", at positions 28 to 508 of the family's 1533-position model. The record is from RNAcentral.